Molecule: long non-coding RNA, 1182 nt
Filed under: Piliocolobus tephrosceles (Ugandan red Colobus)
Lineage: Eukaryota; Metazoa; Chordata; Mammalia; Primates; Cercopithecidae
Description: lncRNA (ENSPTEG00000015988.1)
Source: RNAcentral
CUAUUUUAUCUCUUUUUUUAUAACUAGCUUGGGACGAACGAAUACGUUACAACAAUUUUGAACAUGUGUGGUUAAUACUCACAGAAUGACUUGUGUUUGUUUUAAUUUGGUUGUCCAUAUUUUUACACGUGUUCUUCUUUUUUUCAUUAUACAAAAAUGAAAAAGGAUACACAUAUAACAACUCCUUUUAUUAAAAGUAUAAGCACCUUUGGGAGAACACAAAAGAUAACUAAACGUUUACUACUCGGAUACUAUAAAACAGACAAUUAUAUCCAUUUAAAAGAUGAUUUAAAUAUAAACAGUAUAUUACAUUUUUGUAAAAAUAUAUGUAGAAAUAAAUAUGUUAAAUCUAUUGGCUAUCAAAGAGCUAGCUGUGUUUUACUUGACCAGAUAAAUAAAUGUGGCAGUGGGAAUAAUAAUAAGAAUGAACAAUUUCUAUAUUUUAUUAAAUACUCUUUAUAUUACAACCCUUUAAAUGUUAUGUGUUUGUUUAACUUAGUUUUUUUUUAUACCAAAAUAAGAAAAGACCCCGAGAGCAGUCUUCGAUAUUCUCUUUUAUUACAUACUAUUUUGAUACGAAUUACAAAACCGUUUUUUUUUAAAACAGAAAUAAAUAACUUGGUGAAUAAUCGGCUACGUAAUAAUCGGGUGAGCCCCCCUUUGAAUUCCCGUGUAAGUACACAUAUAUGCAACAAUAUACAGCAUAAUAUACAACACAAUUAUAACAAAACAACUAAAAGAACAAAAAAAAAUAUAAAUAAAUUAAUUAAAAACAUAAAAAAAAAAAAAUGGAGUACAGUUCCUAAAUUAAAUGAUAAAAUAUUUGUUUUGUUAUUAAUUGAGAAUUUACAGUUUUUAUAUUUAAACAAUUAUAAACAGAUUUUUAUGAACGGAGUCAUAUUUUAUUCAAAUGUUUUGUUAAAAAUAAUACAAUUAAAUAUAAUACCUAAUUAUAUGAAAUACAAUUAUUUUUUUUUGCAUGCAAAUUUAUACCAAGUCAAAGCAACGUGUUUUUUGUUAGUACAUUCGGGUAUACAUAACACUGCGUCAUGUCAUAACUCUAGCGAUGUAUCCAAUAGGAAUACUGUCACUGGUAGUAAUAAUAAUAAUAAUAAUAUAAUAAAGAAUAUAAAAAUGAUUACCAAAGAAGAAAUAUAUAAAUUAUUACAUAGUUAUUUAAUG